GAAAGAGAGAGAGGCAGUGUGGGCUGUUGUGCUGGGAGGACACAUCCUAAUGCGACAGGGCUGCAGCUUUGCCAAAGCAUCUUGCGUGGAGGGACACAGAGAGAGAGAGAGAGAGAGAGGGAAAGGACGAGGGACAUCUCCAGAGGACAGCACUGCAGUGCCUGCCGCGUACAGCCAGAGACCCCAUCCAUUCCCCCGUGCAUCAGAACCCGACGCCGCGAGGAGGACGCCGGCACUCUGCCACUAAUUAAGGUAGGAUUCUCGAGGACAGGCCCAUUCCAGCGGUGGGGUGUGGUUUUGGAGUGAGGAUG
This is a long non-coding RNA of Megalops cyprinoides (Indo-Pacific tarpon), 311 nucleotides long. RefSeq lists it as uncharacterized. The record is from RefSeq and is a predicted model, not a curated record. NCBI's taxonomy places the organism in Eukaryota, Metazoa, Chordata, Actinopteri, Elopiformes, Megalopidae. The transcript has 3 exons.